RNAcentral lists this ribosomal RNA (253 nucleotides) under uncultured bacterium. Its description in RNAcentral is "partial 16S ribosomal RNA". It matches the Rfam family "Bacterial small subunit ribosomal RNA", at positions 524 to 776 of the family's 1533-position model. The record is from RNAcentral.
UACAGAGGAGCCAAGCGUUGUCCGGAUUGACUGGGCGUAAAGCGCACGCAGGCGGACGCGCGCGUGGGGUGUGAAAUCUGGCCGCUUAACGGCCAGGCGCCAUCCCAUACGGCGCGUCUGGAGCAAUGCAGAGGUCGGUGGAAUUGCCGGUGUAGUGGUGAAAUGCGUAGAUAUCUGGAAGAACACCAGUGGCGAAGGCGGUCAACUGGCCCGAAACUGACGCUGAGGCACGAAAGCGUGGGUAGCGAACAGG